This 505-nucleotide ribosomal RNA is filed under the name uncultured Geobacter sp. Its description in RNAcentral is "bacterial SSU rRNA". It matches the Rfam family "Bacterial small subunit ribosomal RNA", at positions 335 to 831 of the family's 1533-position model. Lineage: Bacteria; Pseudomonadati; Thermodesulfobacteriota; Desulfuromonadia; Geobacterales; Geobacteraceae. The record is from RNAcentral.
ACUCCUACGGGAGGCAGCAGUGGGGAAUUUUGCGCAAUGGGGGAAACCCUGACGCAGCAACGCCGCGUGAGUGAUGAAGGCCCUUGGGUCGUAAAGCUCUGACAGAGGGAAAGAAGUGUAGAGUGGCUAAUAUCCACAUUACUUGACGGUACCCUCAAAGGAAGCACCGGCUAACUCCGUGCCAGCAGCCGCGGUAAUACGGGGGGUGCAAGCGUUGUUCGGAUUUAUUGGGCGUAAAGCGCGUGUAGGCGGUUUUAUAAGUCUGAUGUGAAAGCCCUGGGCUCAACCCGGGAAGUGCAUUGGAUACUGUAAGACUUGAAUACGGGAGAGGGCAGUGGAAUUCCUAGUGUAGGAGUGAAAUCCGUAGAUAUUAGGAGGAACACCGGUGGCGAAGGCGGCUACCUGGACCGAUAUUGACGCUGAGACGCGAAAGCGUGGGUAGCAAACAGGAUUAGAUACCCUGGUAGUCCACGCCGUAAACGAUGAGAACUAGGUGUCGCGGGUA